RNAcentral lists this transfer RNA (68 nucleotides) under Bradypus torquatus (Maned three-toed sloth). RNAcentral describes it as "tRNA-Thr". The record is from RNAcentral. Lineage: Eukaryota; Metazoa; Chordata; Mammalia; Pilosa; Bradypodidae.
AGUCCUCGUAGUAUAAAAAAUUACACCGGCCUUGUAAACCAGAAAUGAAAUGCACACCUCCAAGGACA